AAAGAUGACAUCCUCAUGCCAGAAAAACGACGAACCAUGAUGAUUAAUCGAGCCUCGUCUUGUCCUAACCGACUGAAAUCCCAGUUGAACUUUCACUCUAAUCUCCGGGGCUGUCAGCGGAGGCAAAUUAGGAGCAAUUUGAAGGUCUUGAGCUUCAAGUAUCGUGAGCCUCAAAUACCAAAGCUUCGGUGAUUGAUAAACNAUUAAUCGAGCCUCGUCUUGUCCUAACCGACUGAAAUCCCAGUUGAACUUUCACUCUAAUCUCCGGGGCUGUCAGCGGAGGCAAAUUAGGAGCAAUUUGAAGGUCUUGAGCUUCAAGUAUCGUGAGCCUCAAAUACCAAAGCUUCGGUGAUUGAUAAACUUUAGAGCGCGUAUGAGUAACAUAAGGCGAGUCCGAGCUCCACGACUCUGGAAAAGCAUCAUCAGCCUGAGUACCAAUCCAAACAGAC
This 449-nucleotide long non-coding RNA is filed under the name Daucus carota (carrot). RNAcentral's name for it is "long non-coding RNA (DCAR_LNC004376)". Lineage: Eukaryota; Viridiplantae; Streptophyta; Magnoliopsida; Apiales; Apiaceae. The record is from RNAcentral.